Molecule: ribosomal RNA, 672 nt
Filed under: Klebsiella pneumoniae
Lineage: Bacteria; Pseudomonadati; Pseudomonadota; Gammaproteobacteria; Enterobacterales; Enterobacteriaceae
Description: partial 23S ribosomal RNA
Rfam family: Bacterial large subunit ribosomal RNA
Source: RNAcentral
UGGUGGGUAGUUUGACUGGGGCGGUCUCCUCCCAAAGCGUAACGGAGGAGCACGAAGGUUAGCUAAUCCUGGUCGGACAUCAGGAGGUUAGUGCAAUGGCAUAAGCUAGCUUGACUGCGAGCGUGACGGCGCGAGCAGGUGCGAAAGCAGGUCAUAGUGAUCCGGUGGUUCUGAAUGGAAGGGCCAUCGCUCAACGGAUAAAAGGUACUCCGGGGAUAACAGGCUGAUACCGCCCAAGAGUUCAUAUCGACGGCGGUGUUUGGCACCUCGAUGUCGGCUCAUCACAUCCUGGGGCUGAAGUAGGUCCCAAGGGUAUGGCUGUUCGCCAUUUAAAGUGGUACGCGAGCUGGGUUUAGAACGUCGUGAGACAGUUCGGUCCCUAUCUGCCGUGGGCGCUGGAGAAUUGAGGGGGGCUGCUCCUAGUACGAGAGGACCGGAGUGGACGCAUCACUGGUGUUCGGGUUGUCAUGCCAAUGGCACUGCCCGGUAGCUAAAUGCGGAAGAGAUAAGUGCUGAAAGCAUCUAAGCACGAAACUUGCCCCGAGAUGAGUUCUCCCUGAGACUUUAAGUCUCCUGAAGGAACGUUGAAGACGAUGACGUUGAUAGGCCGGGUGUGUAAGCGCAGCGAUGCGUUGAGCUAACCGGUACUAAUGAACCGUGAGGCUUAACCUU